CAAGAUUGAGUUUGUAUCUCCUAACAUCAAACAUUUUAAUCGAAAUAAAUGAUAAAAAUGAAAAAGAAAAAAUCACAAAAUAAGCAUUUACACAUAAUAUAUAUCUAGACACUUUCAAAUAAAAAAGUAUGUUAAACAAUACAUAAAAUCUCUGCUCAACUAACUUCUAAUGGUAAUAAAAUAUAACAAACAGAUAAAAACUUGAGAUCCAGCAUACCAAAAAGAAAAUCUAGUUAACCUGGAUUUGAUGUUAAACAUCACAUUAUAUGUUUCUAUUAAAUUUUACUUGCUUCCUUUCUUGUAUUAUUUUUGUAACGUUUGUAAUUUUUUUUAAAUUUAGGCUCCUAGUAUAUUGUUCAUUUUUCUUCUGAAUAUGUGCAACUCGACGCCAUAAACAAAUCCAAAGCAAUAUCUUCUUUAUACUUAAUUAUGUUUUUCUUGGAUUUUGUGUUUCGCUAUCAAACAUGUAUAUAAUAACAAUUAAUCAUUCAAUUAUUUUUUGAAAAUAUAAGCAAAAGAAUCAAGUCAAAUGGAGUCGAACCAUAGAUUCGGAUCAUCAAUCAAGAAUGAAAAAUAUUUUGUAGAUUACAAUUUUUUUGUCUAUAUAAAAAGAUACUUUAGUAUUAUGAUUAUAAACUAUACCAUUUAAACACACACACACGCAUAUAUAUAUAUAUAUAUAAUCAAUUUGAAAAUAUUUAGGUGAGAUGGCAAAAAUUUGGAGAGAAAUUAACUAUGGUAAUGUUCUUAAAUAACUUAACUAUGGCAAUGUUGUGGUAUAAAUAAUCUUUUGUCUAGUUCUCAAAAAAAAAUCUUUUGUGACAAUUUCAUAUUCAUGCACAACUAAUGAGUUUUAUGUUAUGCUAUUUUGAAUAUAUAACUGUUUAUUGACUAAUGUGAUAAAUCAAACGAUAUGUGCUGUUUUUGCCCCUAUGUUUUUUAAUCGUUUAUCUAUAUUUUCAUAUAAUUGAAAGAAAAUUGAAUAUUGCCGUCAAAAAUUGAAUAUUGUCUGUCUUUAAUUACCAUUUCCUAUCACGAUUAAACAAUCAUUCUCUUAGUGCUACUUCGUUUACUCUCUGGAUUUGUGUUAAAUUGUAUAAGCUUCAUGCUUGGCGGUAUAGUAGUUAGACUUUCCGAAAUAUAUAAAGAAAUCAAAAGUCAAUCAAAUUCUGUUGUAGAUGGCAAGUUACGGGCACCGGAUAUAAGAUUUCGAGGACCAUAAUCAUCUCUUUUUUUUAAAUUUAAUAAAUCUCUUUUUUUUUGUAGUUUAUGAACUUAUCUUUAUGUUAAAAAAUUCUAUAAAAUUUAGGAGGUUAAGAUUAAUAUUUCAUACGGCUGUGUCCAAUCCGGCUAUGUUAGUUGAUACGUGUAUGAAUAUAAAAUAUUAAAGUAUAAUAUUAACAACGGUUUAGAUAGUAUAAAUUAUGGGCAAUGAAAUGCAUGAAAAACUUAAGCCAAUUUUAGAUUACGUUUACAACGGACUGUUCUCAAUUGGUGAAAAUGGUUUUAGAACCAGAAGAAUGACCAGCAUUUACAAAUUAUUUGAAAUAUAUUAAGAUCUUGAAAGAAGGUUUCACACAAUCAAAGAUUAUCUAUGUACCAAAGACGUAAAAUACAAAAACGGAUAGCCUAGCACGCAGUGUCAGGAAACAACUGUUUUUUCUCAUUCACAUAGAUCAAAAUCUUUCGGUAUGGUUCACAAUAGUUAGUACAAGUCUGUAUAAGUUGAUGACAAAAAAAAAUAUAUAAAUCAUGGGUUAAUUAAAGCCACAAGAAUUCGUCUAAACACUGUGUCUUUUUUACUCCUUUAGGUCAAAUAUAAAGGAACCUUCAAUGUGGAAACGGUAAUAAUUUUUAAAGGUCUAAAGACUAGUCUAGAAGGUGGAAUAAAAAGAUAAAAACGUAUUUUAUCUAUUUAUUUAUACAAGAAGAGGAACAUGGUCAUCUUUUAUAUCAAUGGCCUUCGAGAAAAACACCAUAUAUUGCUCCCCCUUAGAGAGAGAGAGAGAGCGUGCUUCACAGCAACUAGAGAAAGGAUCCAAAGGGAUCGCAUUGAUCCAAAUUAAGCUGAAUUAUUCCCCAAUAGUUAUUCUUUUUCUCAAUCGAAAGAUGAAAAGAAGACUUGCUUCAUUUUCUGGAUCAUGCGAUCUCAUUGGAUUCAUUCUUUGGUAGCUUCCAUUUUGGUCAAAAGGUCUCUCUACCGGAGACUUCGCCGCCGGGAGAUUCUUCGGUGGGUCGAACCAGUCAUUUACGACAAGUGAUAAAACUUUGUUCAUAUACAAAUCACAACAGAUAACAUAAAAGAAGUAAUAAAGAAAAUACAUGAUUUGGACAAACGAUAGCGCUACUGUCAAGAGUAUUACAGACGAACAAAAGAGAUCUCCCAUGCCUGGAAGGUUAUAAUCUUCCAAACAAAAUCUAUUACACCAGAACAAAAUUCUCCUACCUAAUUAAAUAUCACUGUGACUGAUUUUCUCGCAUGUACAGAUGAUACGAAAAGAAAGAGGAACUUACCCUAUUGAAUCUGGUCCUAAAGGCGAGUCGAAACCGUAAUUGUUUGGUGACAAGGAAACACAUCGAUCAAUGAAUCUCCUCCUAUUGUCCGGCUGCAAACAGGAAACGAAAUGAGCAUUUUUUUUGGAGUAAAAACAACCCUUGUGUUUUGCUAUUAAAGUAAUAAUU
Brassica napus (rape) is the source of this 2682-nucleotide long non-coding RNA. RefSeq lists it as uncharacterized. Lineage: Eukaryota; Viridiplantae; Streptophyta; Magnoliopsida; Brassicales; Brassicaceae. The transcript has 2 exons. The record is from RefSeq and is a predicted model, not a curated record.